Molecule: microRNA precursor, 88 nt
Filed under: Dasypus novemcinctus (nine-banded armadillo)
Lineage: Eukaryota; Metazoa; Chordata; Mammalia; Cingulata; Dasypodidae
Description: miRNA (ENSDNOG00000036541.1)
Source: RNAcentral
GAAUUAGGGUGACCCAUUCUUCUGGUUUGUCUGGGACUGAGGAGCUUUCCUGAGAUGGGACUCUAGUGCCAACCAUAAUGAGUCGGUC